UGAUUUCUUUGGGUUUUCUUACAUGGUGCAGGUUCUACUUUUGAAUUAUCUAUUCAAUUGAGUCAACCGAAGCAGAUGCUGUUAGCGUCUAGGGAACCAAACUAGAUGCUACCAACGUUGAUGAGUUGUCCAAAAAGUGCUCAGAUGUGGUUACCACCAAUGCUCUACCGCCAUUUCAACCUCGAUCCUUCAAGGUGAAGCUGCCAAGUGCUAGCACUCGGACUCCUUGCACACAGUCCAAUCAUAAAAAGGGUAAAAGGGGUGUGUAGUUAGUUUACAAUAUUGGCAGAGCAUGGCAUUGCGUGUCUUGGAAAAAAUUUAUAACCUCAUUCUGUGUACCAUAGUUAGACAGAUUUUUUGGUUGAUGGUACAUUUCUCAUUGUUGAUGUAGAAUUAAAAUUGAAAAUCGAAUCCAAUUGAGAAUAAAACUGACCAAAAAUUAGUGCAACCAAGUCAACCCAUGAAAAUCUACCAUAGGUCUAUUUCUUUAGAACUGAAUGAUUGCUAACAAUGCUAGUAAUAUUUUUUGUACAUGUAACGCCUCGCGCUUCAUUCUCGUAAGUAUUAUGUCCGAAUAGAUUAUGUAUUUGGAAUGUUGCAUAUGAUUUACAUGACAGAUUUUAUACUUCCUUAAUGUUUAUUUAAUGUGUACUUAAUAAUUUUAUUGUUAUUGUGAUUAAUUUUGUCUUGCAAUAGAAUCAACAUUGCAUGCUCUAAACGAUUAACGCGCCAAUAAAUUUAAUUAUGAUAGGUCUAUAAUUGAAUAAUAUAAUAUAGUAUUUUACUACGUGUUCUUGAAUAAUUUAACUCCUAGGUCGAACCUAGAUAACAAGUUAGAAUAUUAUGCAUCGACUUAAUAAGUGAAUACUUUUCUAUAAUUUAAUAUGGAAAUAAUAUUUAAAGGUCAUAUAAUCCCUAUUAUAAAUACAUAUAAUCUCUGUAUUUAAAUACAUUACACUGAUUUCUUUGGGUUUUCUUACAUGGUGCAGGUUCUACUUUUGAAUUAUCUAUUCAAUUGAGUCAACCGAAGCAGAUGCUGUUAGCGUCUAGGGAACCAAACUAGAUGCUACCAACGUUGAUGAGUUGUCCAAAAAGUGCUCAGAUGUGGUUACCACCAAUGCUCUACCGCCAUUUCAACCUCGAUCCUUCAAGGUGAAGCUGCCAAGUGCUAGCACUCGGACUCCUUGCACACAGUCCAAUCAUAAAAAGGGUAAAAGGGGUGUGUAGUUAGUUUACAAUAUUGGCAGAGCAUGGCAUUGCGUGUCUUGGAAAAAAUUUAU
This 1280-nucleotide long non-coding RNA is filed under the name Olea europaea (common olive). Its description in RNAcentral is "long non-coding RNA (OEUR_LNC002372)". The record is from RNAcentral. Lineage: Eukaryota; Viridiplantae; Streptophyta; Magnoliopsida; Lamiales; Oleaceae.